CUCCCUGUAUCUCUGGGACCUGUCUGCUCUGGGAGUCUCCUUUCUGGCCAUGGAAGAGCCUAUUCUUGUUUACUGGCAAGGCAGUUGCCAUUUAGGUAGUACCAGAGUCUGACUUGUACAAGCAGCAUUC
Acomys russatus (golden spiny mouse) is the source of this 130-nucleotide small nucleolar RNA. RefSeq annotates it as small nucleolar RNA SNORA24. Lineage: Eukaryota; Metazoa; Chordata; Mammalia; Rodentia; Muridae. The record is from RefSeq and is a predicted model, not a curated record. The transcript has a single exon.